UUGAAGCCCAAUGGAGUUGAGCAACUUGCUGAAGGUCACACAGCUCGUUGCCUGCUCCUGCAGAGGGCUGCUGCCAUGUCAUGAGCACUCUCAAGCAGCUCUAGCGAGGGGUCAUGUCAUGAGGAACUGAGACCUUCUGCCAAUAGCUGUGUGAAUGAGCCAUCAUGGAGGCAGGUCCUCCAGCCCCAGUCAAGCCUUCAGAUGAUGGCAGCCCCAGCUGAUGAUUUGACUGCAAACUCUCAUGCAACCAGGAAUAAGAACCACUCAGCAGAACCACUCCCAAUUUCCUGACCCACAGAAACUGUGAGAUAAAUAAAUAUU
This 321-nucleotide long non-coding RNA is filed under the name Homo sapiens (human). RNAcentral describes it as "HSALNT0002623". Lineage: Eukaryota; Metazoa; Chordata; Mammalia; Primates; Hominidae. The record is from RNAcentral.